This is a transfer RNA of Felis catus (domestic cat), 85 nucleotides long. It matches the Rfam family "tRNA". Rfam says of the family: Transfer RNA (tRNA) molecules are approximately 80 nucleotides in length. Their secondary structure includes four short double-helical elements and three loops (D, anti-codon, and T loops). Further hydrogen bonds mediate the characteristic L-shaped molecular structure. tRNAs have two regions of fundamental functional importance: the anti-codon, which is responsible for specific mRNA codon recognition, and the 3' end, to which the tRNAs corresponding amino acid is attached (by aminoacyl-tRNA synthetases). tRNAs cope with the degeneracy of the genetic code in two manners: having more than one tRNA (with a specific anti-codon) for a particular amino acid; and 'wobble' base-pairing, i.e. permitting non-standard base-pairing at the 3rd anti-codon position. Lineage: Eukaryota; Metazoa; Chordata; Mammalia; Carnivora; Felidae. The record is from Rfam.
GCCUGGGUGGCUCAGUUGGUUAAGCAUCCGACUUCAGCUCAGGUCACGAUCUCACGGUCCGUGGGUUCGAGCCCCGCAUCGGGCU